UAUGUGAUCGUCUCUCGCAUAUCAAUAAGCGGAGGAAAAGAAACUAACAAGGAUUCCCCUAGUAACGGCGAGUGAAGCGGGAAGAGCUCAAAUUUGAAAUCUUAAAGGGUUUCCCUUUACGAAUUGUAGUUUAAAGAAGUGUUUUCUGUUGAGGUUUUGGUAAAAGUUCUUUGGAAUAGGACAUCAUAGAGGGUGAGAAUCCCGUAUUUGACCUUUACUUUCAACUUUGUGUAUACACUUUCAAAGAGUCGGAUUGUUUGGGAAUGCAGUCCAAAAUGGGUGGUAAAUUUCAUCUAAAGCUAAAUAUUGGCGAGAGACCGAUAGCGAACAAGUACCGUGAGGGAAAGAUGAAAAGAACUUUGAAAAGAGAGUUAAACAGUACGUGAAAUUGUCAAAAGGGAAGCGUUUGACACCAGUGUUGUUUUUCUGAAAAUCAAUUAAAGAACUGUUUAUGCUAAGUUGUUUAGACUUUAUCAGCUAACUGUUUAGUUUUGAGCUUUUCUUUAAUGCACUUUUCAGUUAACAAGUCAAUCAUCAAUUUCUUUUGCUGUAAAAAAGCUUGAGGAAGGUGGCUUGAGAUUCGUCUUAAGUGUUUAUAGCCUCUUGCCUAUGCAGUCGGAGAGAUUGAGGUCUGCAGCGUAGAUCCUUCGGGGCUAAAUGCAUUUGUGCUAAGUUAUAGCAUUUUAUAGACAGCUUGUUGACUAUGAUUUGUCUUGUAGCUUACUCGCUUAUGUUAUUUUACCUACGCUUAGGAUGUUGAGUCGUAGAGCACGCA
RNAcentral lists this ribosomal RNA (775 nucleotides) under uncultured Neocallimastigales. RNAcentral's name for it is "partial large subunit ribosomal RNA". It matches the Rfam family "Eukaryotic large subunit ribosomal RNA", at positions 24 to 605 of the family's 3401-position model. Lineage: Eukaryota; Fungi; Neocallimastigomycota; Neocallimastigomycetes; Neocallimastigales. The record is from RNAcentral.